GAAGAACGCAGCGAAAUGCGAUAAGUAAUGUGAAUUGCAGAAUUCAGUGAAUCAUCGAAUCUUUGAACGCACAUUGCGCCCGCCAGCAUUCUGGCGGGCAUGCCUGUUCGAGCGUCAUUUCAACCCUCAAGCUCUGCUUGGUGUUGGGGCCCUACGGUU
RNAcentral lists this ribosomal RNA (159 nucleotides) under Colletotrichum lineola. Its description in RNAcentral is "5.8S ribosomal RNA". The stretch from base 1 to 117 matches the Rfam family "5.8S ribosomal RNA", at positions 38 to 154 of the family's 154-position model. From Rfam's summary of the family: 5.8S ribosomal RNA (5.8S rRNA) is a component of the large subunit of the eukaryotic ribosome. It is transcribed by RNA polymerase I as part of the 45S precursor that also contains 18S and 28S rRNA. Lineage: Eukaryota; Fungi; Ascomycota; Sordariomycetes; Glomerellales; Glomerellaceae. The record is from RNAcentral.